This 421-nucleotide ribosomal RNA is filed under the name uncultured Alphaproteobacteria bacterium. RNAcentral's name for it is "bacterial SSU rRNA". It matches the Rfam family "Bacterial small subunit ribosomal RNA", at positions 36 to 505 of the family's 1533-position model. Lineage: Bacteria; Pseudomonadati; Pseudomonadota; Alphaproteobacteria. The record is from RNAcentral.
CUGGCGGCAGGCCUAACACAUGCAAGUCGAGCGCGCCUUCGGGUGAGCGGCGGACGGGUUAGUAACGCGUGGGAACGUGCCCUUCUCUACGGAAUAGCCUCUGGAAACGGAGAGUAAUACCGUAUACGCCCUUUGGGGGAAAGAUUUAUCGGAGAAGGAUCGGCCCGCGUUAGAUUAGGUAGUUGGUGGGGUAACGGCCUACCAAGCCUACGAUCUAUAGCUGGUUUUAGAGGAUGAUCAGCAACACUGGGACUGAGACACGGCCCAGACUCCUACGGGAGGCAGCAGUGGGGAAUCUUAGACAAUGGGGGCAACCCUGAUCUAGCCAUGCCGCGUGAGUGAUGAAGGCCUUAGGGUCGUAAAGCUCUUUCGCCUGUGAUGAUAAUGACAGUAGCAGGUAAAGAAACCCCGGCUAACUCCG